Molecule: ribosomal RNA, 404 nt
Filed under: Fusobacteriota bacterium
Lineage: Bacteria; Fusobacteriati; Fusobacteriota
Description: Fusobacteria bacterium partial 16S ribosomal RNA
Rfam family: Bacterial small subunit ribosomal RNA
Source: RNAcentral
UGGGGAAUAUUGCACAAUGGAGGGAACUCUGAUGCAGCGACGCCGCGUGAGUGAUGAAGGAAUUCGUUUCGUAAAACUCUGUUCUAUGGGAAGAAAAGGACUGUACCAUAGGAGAAAGCUCCGGCUAAAUACGUGCCAGCAGCCGCGGUAAUACGUAGGGCGCGAGCGUUGUCCGGAUUUAUUGGGCGUAAAGAGCUCGUAGGUGGUUCGUCGCGUCUGUCGUGAAAGCCAGCAGCUUAACUGUUGGUCUGCGGUGGGUACGGGCGGGCUUGAGUGCGGUAGGGGUGACUGGAAUUCCUGGUGUAGCGGUGGAAUGCGCAGAUAUCAGGAGGAACACCGAUGGCGAAGGCAGGUCACUGGGCCGUUACUGACACUGAGGAGCGAAAGCGUGGGGAGCGAACAGG